RNAcentral lists this ribosomal RNA (394 nucleotides) under uncultured bacterium. RNAcentral describes it as "bacterial SSU rRNA". It matches the Rfam family "Bacterial small subunit ribosomal RNA", at positions 361 to 772 of the family's 1533-position model. The record is from RNAcentral.
AUAUUGGACAAUGGGCGCAAGCCUGAUCCAGCCAUGCCGCGUGAGUGAUGAAGGCCUUAGGGUUGUAAAGCUCUUUCGUUGGGGAAGAUAAUGACGGUACCCAAAGAAGAAGCCCCGGCUAACUUCGUGCCAGCAGCCGCGGUAAUACGAAGGGGGCUAGCGUUGUUCGGAAUUACUGGGCGUAAAGCGCGCGUAGGCGGACCAUCAAGUCAGGGGUGAAAGCCUGGAGCUUAACUCCAGAACUGCCUUUGAUACUGUUGGUCUUGAGGUCGGGAGAGGUGAGUGGAACUGCGAGUGUAGAGGUGAAAUUCGUAGAUAUUCGCAAGAACACCAGUGGCGAAGGCGGCUCACUGGCCCGAAUCUGACGCUGAGGCGCGAAAGCGUGGGGAGCAAA